RNAcentral lists this ribosomal RNA (237 nucleotides) under uncultured bacterium. RNAcentral's name for it is "partial 16S ribosomal RNA". It matches the Rfam family "Bacterial small subunit ribosomal RNA", at positions 933 to 1171 of the family's 1533-position model. The record is from RNAcentral.
CGGAGCAUGCGGAUUAUUCGAUGCAACGCGAAGAACCUUACCAAGGCUUGACAUAUACGAGAACGGGCCAGAAAUGGUCAACUCUUUGGACACUCGUAAACAGGUGGUGCAUGGUUGUCGUCAGCUCGUGUCGUGAGAUGUUGGGUUAAGUCCCGCAACGAGCGCAACCCUCGUUCUAUGUUGCCAGCACGUAAUGGUGGGAACUCAUGGGAUACUGCCGGGGUCAACUCGGAGGAA